Molecule: small RNA, 291 nt
Filed under: Oceanobacillus oncorhynchi
Lineage: Bacteria; Bacillati; Bacillota; Bacilli; Caryophanales; Bacillaceae
Description: 5' ureB small RNA
Rfam family: 5' ureB small RNA
Source: Rfam by way of RNAcentral
CCGUUUCAAUCUGCUGCGGUGAAAUAAAAUGAACAUGGGCAUCAAUCCCGCCAGCAGUCACAAUUUUACCUUCCGCUCCGAUAAUAUCAGUCGCUGCACCGAUGGUAAUAUCGACGUCAUCCAUCACCAGCGCAUUACCACUCUUGCCGAUUCCGCAUAUUUUACCGUCUUUAAUGCCGAUAUCCGCUUUAUAAAUCCCUGUGUAGUCCAAUAUAAUUGCAUUUGUCAAUACCGUAUCUGCAGCUUCAUCAUUUAAAGCAAGCGGAUUUUGACCCAUGCCAUCCCGUAUGA